UACGUGGGCAGCGAGCGUUGUUCGGAAUUACUGGGCGUAAAGGGCGCGUAGGCGGUUCCGUAAGUUGGUUGUGAAAGUUCGAGGCUCAACCUCGAAACUGCGUCCAAUACUGCGGGGCUGGAGUGCAAGAGAGGCAAGUGGAGUUUGCGGUGUAGUAGUGAAAUGCGUAGAUAUCGCAAGGAACACCAGUGGCGAAGGCGGCUUGCUAGCUUGUAACUGACGCUGAGGCGCGAAAGCUAGGGGAGCGAACGGG
This 253-nucleotide ribosomal RNA is filed under the name uncultured prokaryote. Its description in RNAcentral is "partial 16S ribosomal RNA". It matches the Rfam family "Bacterial small subunit ribosomal RNA", at positions 524 to 776 of the family's 1533-position model. The record is from RNAcentral.